RNAcentral lists this ribosomal RNA (439 nucleotides) under uncultured bacterium. Its description in RNAcentral is "partial 16S ribosomal RNA". It matches the Rfam family "Bacterial small subunit ribosomal RNA", at positions 338 to 795 of the family's 1533-position model. The record is from RNAcentral.
CCUACGGGCGGCAGCAGUGGGGAAUAUUGCACAAUGGACGAAAGCCUGCUGCAGCAACGCCGCGUGAGCGAUGAAGGCCUUCGGGUCGUAAAGCUCUUUCCUCAAGGAAGAUACUGACGGUACUUGAGGAGGAAGCCCCGGCUAACUACGUUCCAGCAGCCGCGGUAAUCCGUAGGGGGCUAGCGUUAUCCGGAAUUACUGGGCGUAAAGGGUGCGUAGGUGGUUUCUUAAGUCAGAGGUGAAAGGCUACGGCUCAACCUUAGUAAGCCUUUGAAACUGGGAAACUUGAGUGCAGGAGAGGAGAGCGGAAUUCCUAGGGUAGCGGUGAAAUGCGUAGAUAUUAGGAGGAACACCAGUUGCGAAGGCGGCUCUCUGAACUGUAACUGACACUGAGGCACGAAAGCGUGGGGAGCAAACAGGAUUAGAUACCCGUGUAGUC